This 210-nucleotide ribosomal RNA is filed under the name Triticum aestivum (bread wheat). RNAcentral's name for it is "partial small subunit ribosomal RNA". The record is from RNAcentral. Lineage: Eukaryota; Viridiplantae; Streptophyta; Magnoliopsida; Poales; Poaceae.
AUGAAUGCCCUGGCUCUGAACUGUCGGGGAUGCGGACGGCCCGAGACAGUUCAAGAAAUUCGCAACAUGAUUCAGUUGCAUCUUCCGAGUUUGGUCUUUCUCUCGGAGACCAAACUGUCUGCUACGAGAGCGCAAGACUUGAGGUUUAGAUUGGGGUUCAGACACACGUUUGGUGUUAAAACUGAGGGACUCGGUGGAGGACUUGUCCUG